UACGAAGGGGGCUAGCGUUGUUCGGAAUUACUGGGCGUAAAGCGCGCGCAGGCGGUCUUCCAAGUCAGUGGUGAAAGCCCGGAGCUCAACUCCGGAACUGCCAUUGAAACUGUGAGACUUGAGGAUGAGAGAGGUGAGUGGAAUUCCCAGUGUAGAGGUGAAAUUCGUAGAUAUUCGGAAGAACACCAGUGGCGGAAGGCGGCCCGCUGGGCAGUGGCUGACGCUGAGGCGGCGAAAAGCGUGGGGAGCCGAACAGG
This 257-nucleotide ribosomal RNA is filed under the name uncultured bacterium. Its description in RNAcentral is "partial 16S ribosomal RNA". It matches the Rfam family "Bacterial small subunit ribosomal RNA", at positions 524 to 776 of the family's 1533-position model. The record is from RNAcentral.